This 76-nucleotide transfer RNA is filed under the name Rickettsiales bacterium. RNAcentral describes it as "tRNA-Arg". It matches the Rfam family "tRNA". From Rfam's summary of the family: Transfer RNA (tRNA) molecules are approximately 80 nucleotides in length. Their secondary structure includes four short double-helical elements and three loops (D, anti-codon, and T loops). Further hydrogen bonds mediate the characteristic L-shaped molecular structure. tRNAs have two regions of fundamental functional importance: the anti-codon, which is responsible for specific mRNA codon recognition, and the 3' end, to which the tRNAs corresponding amino acid is attached (by aminoacyl-tRNA synthetases). tRNAs cope with the degeneracy of the genetic code in two manners: having more than one tRNA (with a specific anti-codon) for a particular amino acid; and 'wobble' base-pairing, i.e. permitting non-standard base-pairing at the 3rd anti-codon position. The record is from RNAcentral. Lineage: Bacteria; Pseudomonadati; Pseudomonadota; Alphaproteobacteria; Rickettsiales.
GCAUCUGUAGCUUAAUGGAUAGAGCAUUUGACUUCGGAUCAAACGGUUAGGGGUUCGAGUCCCUUCAGAUGCGCCA